This 253-nucleotide ribosomal RNA is filed under the name uncultured bacterium. RNAcentral's name for it is "partial 16S ribosomal RNA". It matches the Rfam family "Bacterial small subunit ribosomal RNA", at positions 524 to 776 of the family's 1533-position model. The record is from RNAcentral.
UACGAAGGGGGCUAGCGUUGCUCGGAAUCACUGGGCGUAAAGGGUGCGUAGGCGGUUCUUUAAGUCAGGGGCGAAAUCCUGGAGCUCAACUCCAGAACUGCCUUUGAUACUGAAGAUCUUGAGUUCGGGAGAGGUGAGUGGAACUGCGAGUGUAGAGGUGAAAUUCGUAGAUAUUCGCAAGAACACCAGUGGCGAAGGCGGCUCACUGGCCCGAUACUGACGCUGAGGCACGAAAGCGUGGGGAGCAAACAGG